RNAcentral lists this ribosomal RNA (500 nucleotides) under uncultured bacterium. RNAcentral's name for it is "partial 16S ribosomal RNA". It matches the Rfam family "Bacterial small subunit ribosomal RNA", at positions 30 to 523 of the family's 1533-position model. The record is from RNAcentral.
AUUGGACGCUGGCGGCAGGCUUAACACAUGCAAGUCGAACGGUAACAGGGUGCUUGCACCGCUGACGAGUGGCGAACGGGUGAGUAAUGCGUCGGAACGUGCCGAGUAGUGGGGGAUAACGCAGCGAAAGUUGUGCUAAUACCGCAUACGUACUGAGGUAGAAAGUGGGGGACCUUCGGGCCUCACGCUAUUCGAGCGGCCGACGUCUGAUUAGCUAGUAGGUGAGGUAAAGGCUCACCUAGGCGACGAUCAGUAGCGGGUCUGAGAGGAUGAUCCGCCACACUGGGACUGAGACACGGCCCAGACUCCUACGGGAGGCAGCAGUGGGGAAUUUUGGACAAUGGGCGAAAGCCUGAUCCAGCCAUGCCGCGUGUCUGAAGAAGGCCUUCGGGUUGUAAAGGACUUUUGUCAGGGAGGAAAUCCCUAGUGCUAAUAACACUGGGGGAUGACAGUACCUGAAGAAUAAGCACCGGCUAACUACGUGCCAGCCGCCGCGGUAA